Molecule: non-coding RNA, 45 nt
Filed under: Trichobilharzia regenti
Lineage: Eukaryota; Metazoa; Platyhelminthes; Trematoda; Strigeidida; Schistosomatidae
Source: RNAcentral
AUCCAGUUGACGAGUCUCAAGUAGGACGAAAUGGACAUCCUAGAU